This is a long non-coding RNA of Dalotia coriaria, 391 nucleotides long. RefSeq lists it as uncharacterized. The transcript has 3 exons. The record is from RefSeq and is a predicted model, not a curated record. NCBI's taxonomy places the organism in Eukaryota, Metazoa, Arthropoda, Insecta, Coleoptera, Staphylinidae.
AUGUGAUCCGUCCACGUCGAGGUUGAUCCUAACGGUCACAAAUUAGCCAGUUGUCCAGCUGAUCACCAAGGGUCAGGGCCUGAUGUGUAUACCCAUCAAGGAAUGGGUUCCUACCCUUGCAAAGCCGGAAAGUAACUGAGCUGAAGAAGAAUCCGAUGUGAUGCAGUUCUAUUCAUGCCGAGAUCGAUUCUGAUGUAUCCAGCUUCCCAACGAAAAAAAAGCUUUUGGGGCAGGGUUCGAUGUGUAUACCCGUCAAGGAAUGGGCUGCUGCCUCCAAGGGUAUGAACAGUCGGCAAAAUGCUGAGAAGUUGGAUGAUGGCAUCAUUUCUCUGGGGAUGAAGAUGAGGUUUUAAGUAUAUGGGGGCAUAGCGCAGCAACAUACACACUAAUU